GUAGGGUGCGAGCGUUAAUCGGAUUUACUGGGCGUAAAGCGUGCGCAGGCGGCCCGUUAAGACAGGUGUGAAAUCCCUGGGCUCAACCUAGGAAUUGCGCUUGUGACUGGCGGGCUCGAGUACGGUAGAGGGGGGUGGAAUUCCUGGUGUAGCAGUGAAAUGCGUAGAGAUCAGGAGGAACACCGAUGGCGAAGGCAGCCCCCUGGGCCUGUACUGACGCUCAUGCACGAAAGCGUGGGGAGCAAACAGGAUUAGAUACCCUGGUAGUCCACGCCCUAAACGAUGGGUACUAGCCGUUUGGUGCGCGAUAGCGCUGAGUGGCGAAGCCAACGCGUUAAGCGCGCCGCCUGGGGAGUACGGCCGCAAGGCUG
RNAcentral lists this ribosomal RNA (371 nucleotides) under uncultured beta proteobacterium. Its description in RNAcentral is "bacterial SSU rRNA". It matches the Rfam family "Bacterial small subunit ribosomal RNA", at positions 527 to 896 of the family's 1533-position model. Lineage: Bacteria; Pseudomonadati; Pseudomonadota; Betaproteobacteria. The record is from RNAcentral.